AGCUUGUUAUCUAAGUUCGGGCCACAACGAUAGCUUCGAUAUACCUGUCAGAGUCCAAAAUUCCUCUCUCUGCUCUGUAAUGCUUAAUGGCUCUGCCGCCAUUUGCCCUGCCCCGGGUCACGUGCUCGUCUGUGGAGGGAGCUUGGCAUUCACCUCCCUCCCCACUAAUUGGACUGGGCUGUGCGUGGUGGCGACUGUCCUCCCGGACAUCGCCCUCAUUCCUGGAGAUGAGCCGGUGCCCUUGCCCAGCUUUGACUAUAUCGCUGGGCGACAUAACAGGGCCAUUUCACUGGUCCCCCUGCUCGUGGGACUGGGGGUGUCCGGUGCCCUUGCCACUGGCUCUGCUGGCAUCUGAGUGGCGUUACACUCCUAUGCCAAAUUAUCCAACCAGUUGAUUAAUGAUGUUCAAGCUCUCUCCAACACUCUUACAGAUGUACAAGAUCAGAUCGAUUCUUUGGCUGAGGUGGUCCUUCAAAAUAGAAGGGGCCUGGACCUCCUCACGGCGAAACAAGGAGGGAUUUACAUAGCCCUACAUGAACAUUGUUGUUUCUAUGCCAAUAAAUCUGGGAUCGUCAGGGAAAAAAUUUGCUCAAAAUCCCCUCUGGACUGGCCUCAAUGGUUUCCUCCCUUAUCUUCUCCCUUUGCUGGGACCCUUAUUGGGCCUAUUUCUGCUCAUUUCUUUGGGGCCCAUAAUAUACAACAAAAUCAUGGCCUUCCUUAGAGCCCGGAUAGAGGCAAUAAAAACAGCACCCAUACAGGUCUACUAUCACAGAUUGGCAAUGGCUGACCAGGACGAAUGCCGGACCGUCAAUUAGGUCCUUGCCGUGGCGAAGUGUUCUCGCCCCACCUGGUGAGUGGGCUGGCAAGCCAAUGACGGGCAACUGAGCAAGCGUGCCAUGCAAUGAGAGAGCCCUCGUGCGCCGCCUAAGACAGGUGCCAGAGCCUUGAUGCUCUGGUUAACCGAUGACGGGAUCUCACUAUAGUUCAGGCUUGCCUUUAACUGGCUAUGGAGACCAGGCUAACCUCGAUCUCACAGUAAUCUUCCUCCUCAGCCUCCUACGUGAAAUUUAUGUCUCUUUAUGGUGAGUAGUACUCUAUUUUGUAUAUAUACCAGAUUUUCUCUAUGUAUUCAUCUGUUGAUGGACAUGUAGGUUGUUUCCAAAAUUUAGGUAUUACGAGUUUUACUACUAUAAAUAGAGUGCAUGUAUCUCUGUAAGAUGUCAUUACAUAUUUUGUGAAGAUACCCAGAAGAGUUAUACCUGAGUCAAAUGGAUCUCUGGUUUUAGUUUUUUGGAGGAAUCUCCAGAGUGGUUGUACUAUUUCUUCUUGCAAUAAACUUUGCAGAAUGGUUCCCUUUCCCACUCAACCCCACCUGCAUUAUUUUUGAGUUCUUGAAGCAUGCUUACUGGAACAAGCUCAAACUUCAGUGGGUUUUGAUUUGAAUUUCUCUAAUGGACAAAGAUAUUGAACAGACUUUUCUGCAUUUUAUGGCCAUAAAUGCUUCUUCUGAGAAGUAUCUAUUCACUUUGAGUUUUCAUUUUUAAAAUUUGGUCAUUUAUUUUGGAGUGUCUAAUGUUUUUGAGUUUUUAAAAUACAAUUUAAAUGUUAGUCUUCUGUCCAAGGAACAGCUGACCAAGAUUUUCCCACUCCAGGGGUUCUCUCUUUAAUUUGUUGUUUCUUUUGCUGUAAAAAUCUAAAUUUGACAUAAUCUCAUUUGUUGAUUGCUGAUAUUAUUUCUUGUGCAAUUGAGUUAUUCCAAAAUUCUUUGCUUCUGCCAAUGUCUUCAAGAGCUUUUUCUGUUUUAUUUUCCAUUAGAUUUAGUGUUUCUGGUUUAAUAUCUAGUUCUCUGGUCCAUUUUUAUUUGUUUUUUCUAGAGAAUUUAUGAGAGAUGGGUCUGGAUUUUAUUUUCUGUACUAGGAUAGUGAGUUUUUCCAGCACAGUCUUUUUCCAGUACACUAUAAGUUUGCAACAUCACUUUAAAUCUCAAAUAAUGAUUCCUCCUGCUUUGCUCUUAUGCUCAGGGGUUCUUUGGCUACUCUUGGUCUUUUCUCAUUUUCUUUUCCAGUACCAGAGCUCCAACUCAGGACCUCAGGCUUUCAAGGCAGGCACAGCACCACUGAGCUAAAUCCCCAGCCCUCUGAUUUGUUAUGAAUUUUAGAAAUGCGCUUUAUAGUUUUGUAAAGUACACUGAAAGUUUGAUAACAAUUGCAUUAAAAAUAUCUGGGAAUACAAGGUCCUGAGUUCUAUCCCCAGUACCACAAAAAUAAAAUAAAAUAAAAUAAAAAAUCCGGGAAUAUGGACAUUUUGACAACAUUAAUUGGCUAUGCCUGUGAGGUAGAAAGAGCUGCCAAACAUAACUUGGAAUGGAUAAUUACUGUAAAAUACAUGUUUAUGAAUUCUGUGUCAGCUCAAUGUAGCAACAAGGGACUGUUUAUAUAUUUUGUGUGAGCUACCCCUAAAACCCUGUCUGUGCCAACUUGUCCCUGAUUGGAAACUCUGGGUGGGCCUUCCCCCUCUUGUGGGGCUGCCUGUUCCCAGAAAGAUUAGAAACUAGCCUUGAAAUUUGUUUAUGUAAGCCCCCAAGCUUGAAACAAUGGAAAAUUGUCUAAUGUUGCUUUACCACCUCCUUGCUACAUUCUGUAUAACCCCAACUCAAGCUACCCUGUAGGCUACAAGCAAGGUAUAAAAAGGAGAAACUGCCUUAGCUCAAGGUCAGUCCUGGGACUGGCCAUUGCCUGGCAAUAAACUUCUUUUUUAUUUUACUCAACUCUCCUGUCUCUGGAAGAUCAUUUUGACUCCCAAUGUGCAGCAACACCUGUCUAGGAACAAGAUGUGUCUUUCUAUUUUCUAAUCUCUUCAAUCUCUCUGUUAUUUUGACUACUACAGUUUUUCUUUUAGAGGAUUUUUACUUUCUUUGUUACAUUCAUUCUUAGGUAUUAGUUUUUUUGAAGCUUUCAUUAGGG
RNAcentral lists this long non-coding RNA (2963 nucleotides) under Heterocephalus glaber (naked mole-rat). Its description in RNAcentral is "lncRNA (ENSHGLG00100041050.1)". Lineage: Eukaryota; Metazoa; Chordata; Mammalia; Rodentia; Bathyergidae. The record is from RNAcentral.